This 511-nucleotide unclassified non-coding RNA is filed under the name Hevea brasiliensis (rubber tree). Lineage: Eukaryota; Viridiplantae; Streptophyta; Magnoliopsida; Malpighiales; Euphorbiaceae. The record is from RNAcentral.
UUUUUUUUUUUUUGACCCCACUCCUUCUCUUACAUAACACCCACAUACAUAUACAUCCAUAGAUUUAUAAUCUCUCCUCUCUUCUCUCUCAUCUAUAAUUGUCAGAAAAACGCUGCUUAGCAUUGGGUUUUUAGACAUUAUAUAACCAAUAUUUGUAUGUGUGUAUAUAAAGAUUGUGUCUUUCUUAAACUCCAUCGAGAAAAAUUCUUCAGUUGUGGCUACUACAAGGAGUAGGCAGCUUCUAUCCGACUCUGGAGCCUUUGCAGACUGGGCUACGUCCUCUUCUUCCUCAGCCAUCCGCGCCGCUGGCCCGGACGACCUUUCCCUCGGCUUUAAUGCCGGCCCUACCGCCGCGGCCGCCGCAGCAGCUGCUGCACCUGGGGGCGGUGCCACUGGCCCAUCGUGGUCUAGUUCAGCCAGACAAAUCAACUAUGGCAUCCCUCCUGAGAUGGGCAUGUUUGUUGUUAGCCCUGCUUCCUUUAAUCACCACCACCAGCAUCAGCACCAGCAU